AGAGUUUGAUCCUGGCUCAGGAUGAACGCUGGCGGUAUGCUUAACACAUGCAAGUCGAACGGGAUGCUUAGGCAUCUAGUGGCGGACGGGUGAGUAACGCGUGAGAAUCUGGCUCCGGGUCGGGGAUAACAGUUGGAAACGACUGCUAAUACCGGAUGUGCCGAGAGGUGAAAGAUUUAUCGCCUGGAGAUGAGCUCGCGUCUGAUUAGCUAGUUGGCGGUGUAAGGGACCACCAAGGCAUCGAUCAGUAGCUGGUCUGAGAGGAUGAUCAGCCACACUGGGACCGAGACACGGCCCAGACUCCUACGGGAGGCAGCAGUGGGGAAUUUUCCGCAAUGGGCGAAAGCCUGACGGAGCAAUACCGCGUGAGGGAGGAAGGCUCUUGGGUCGUAAACCUCUUUUCUCAAGGAAGAAGAAAGUGACGGUACUUGAGGAAUAAGCAUCGGCUAACUCCGUGCCAGCAGCCGCGGUAAUACGGAGGAUGCAAGCGUUAUCCGGAAUGAUUGGGCGUAAAGGGUCUGCAGGUGGAACUGAAAGUCUGCUGUUAAAGAGUUUGGCUUAACCAAAUAAAAGCGGUGGAAACUACAGAACUAGAGUGCGGUAGGGGCAAAAGGAAUUCCUGGUGUAGCGGUGAAAUGCGUAGAUAUCAGGAAGAACACCGGUGGCGAAAGCGUUUUGCUAGACCGUAACUGACACUGAGGGACGAAAGCUAGGGGAGCGAAUGGGAUUAGAUACCCCAGUAGUCCUAGCCGUAAACGAUGGAUACUAGGCGUGGCUUGUAUCGACCCGAGCCGUGCCGGAGCUAACGCGUUAAGUAUCCCGCCUGGGGAGUACGCACGCAAGUGUGAAACUCAAAGGAAUUGACGGGGGCCCGCACAAGCGGUGGAGUAUGUGGUUUAAUUCGAUGCAACGCGAAGAACCUUACCAAGACUUGACAUCCUGCGAAUCCCGGUGAAAGCUGGGAGUGCCUUAGGGAGCGCAGAGACAGGUGGUGCAUGGCUGUCGUCAGCUCGUGUCGUGAGAUGUUGGGUUAAGUCCCGCAACGAGCGCAACCCUCGUUUUUAGUUGCCAGCAUUAAGUUGGGCACUCUAGAGAGACUGCCGGUGACAAACCGGAGGAAGGUGAGGAUGACGUCAAGUCAGCAUGCCCCUUACGUCUUGGGCUACACACGUACUACAAUGCUACGGACAGAGGGCAGCGAGCCAGGGAUGGCAAGCGAAUCCAGAAACCGUAGCUCAGUUCAGAUCGAAGGCUGCAACUCGCCUUCGUGAAGGAGGAAUCGCUAGUAGUUGCAGGUCAGCAUACUGCAGUGAAUUCGUUCCCGGGCCUUGUACACACCGCCCGUCACACCAUGGAAGUUGGUCACGCCCGAAGUCAUUACCCCAGCCGAAAGGAGGGGGAUGCCUAAGGUAGGACUGGUGACUGGGGUGAAGUCGUAACAAGGUAGCCGUACCGGAAGGUGUGGCUGGAUCACCUCCUUUUAGGGAGACCUACCCAUUGAAGAAUCGAAAGCGGAAAGCGAAUAGAGAAUCAAAUGGUCUACUCUAGGUCGGUCGAGAAUUGGUCAAGUCUCUUUCAAAGUAUUAUAUUUCCGGUGAUCACCAGCAACUAGGAAAGACCUAGACUGCUGGUGAUGAACCAGCCAGAACCUUGAAAACUGCAUAUAGAAAGAUAAGAGUAAGAGUAAGUGGUCAAGCUAAUAAGGGCUCAUGGUGGAUACCUAGGCACACAGAGGCGAAGA
This 1741-nucleotide ribosomal RNA is filed under the name Cylindrospermopsis raciborskii CHAB 3409. RNAcentral describes it as "bacterial SSU rRNA". The stretch from base 1 to 1481 matches the Rfam family "Bacterial small subunit ribosomal RNA". The record is from RNAcentral. Lineage: Bacteria; Bacillati; Cyanobacteriota; Cyanophyceae; Nostocales; Aphanizomenonaceae.